AUGAGGAUCUGAAGCUGGAACUGCCGGGGAAUAGGGCAACCCCGGACAGUUCAAGAGCUGGUGUGCCUGGUAAGCACACAUCGCCCAUCCAUCGUGUUCCUCUCAGAGACUAGGCAAAAUAAAGAGAGAGUUAGUAAUGUUAGGUGGAGGCUCGGCCUCAAAAGCUGUAUGCUGCACGAUGGAGUUGGAAAAGGGGCAGGCAUCGCCUUGUAUUGGGACGAGUCU
RNAcentral lists this ribosomal RNA (225 nucleotides) under Triticum aestivum (bread wheat). RNAcentral's name for it is "partial small subunit ribosomal RNA". The record is from RNAcentral. Lineage: Eukaryota; Viridiplantae; Streptophyta; Magnoliopsida; Poales; Poaceae.